GAAGUCGGAACUCGCGCCGGCCCGAUUCCUGAAGGUGCAGAUUGAGAGCACGCUCGACGCCGUCUGCAAUUUCGCUGCCGAUGUGGUCAGCGGUGAGAUUAAGCCCCCUCUUACUUCUCCCGUGGAUUGCUUUACUCAAGUACUUUCAGUUGGAUUAGGAAGUUCAGCUAUUGGGCCACAGUUUGUUGCAGAGGCAUUGGCUCCCGAUAAUCCUCCAUUGAAGUGUUAAAGAUCGGAGUGUCCAUCCUCCUCUCGCAAUCUACCCUUCAGGAAGCAGCCUUGCAGGAGUUGGUAUUGCUCCAUGCUAAAAAUGUGGACGAAACUGAUGUUCAAGUUGGAGAGCUUGGAUUAGCGGUGCACAGCAAGUCCAGUUCAAGCCAAGAACCGGGUAGAGCCAUCCUGAUGAAGUCCUAUUCCAGGUCAAU
Molecule: long non-coding RNA, 425 nt
Organism: Eucalyptus grandis
Lineage: Eukaryota; Viridiplantae; Streptophyta; Magnoliopsida; Myrtales; Myrtaceae
Exons: 4
Source: RefSeq, a predicted model, not a curated record